Molecule: long non-coding RNA, 1517 nt
Organism: Zingiber officinale
Lineage: Eukaryota; Viridiplantae; Streptophyta; Magnoliopsida; Zingiberales; Zingiberaceae
Exons: 2
Source: RefSeq, a predicted model, not a curated record
AGAAAUUGACUUGAUGUGAUUUCAUCCGGUUAAAAGCUUGCUAGUUAAUUAAAUUUAUGAUCCAAUCGUCUAGAUGGAGGUGUUGGUUGAUACCAGAAGUAGGGGGAUAUAAACUAGGGAGAUAUGAGGAGAUAAGGGUGGAACAAAUAAUAGAAAUAAGGAGAAGAUAUGAGAAACUCAUAGAUUCUAUUACUUGUUGCCCAAAGCUUACAAGAUUUUCCUGAGUAGAGACUAAAGAUCGCUUAUGCCAAUGUAGAGGGUUUGAUGCUUCUUAUAGAAGAGGAAAAGAUUAUGUCGGAUGCUUUUUGGGUCUCAUUGUCACAUAUCUUUUGUCUUUUGAUAAGGUGACUUCUAUACAGCUGGUGGUGGUGUCCUUCCGAUAAGAAGGAAUCCACCUUUAUUCCCGUGAUCCUCUAGAUCACUUUUACAGCACACCCUAUAGAGUAGACUGAUUACUUUAAAGCACAUCCAUCUUAAUAAUUUACAAGACAGGAUUUAGUGAGCUAAGUCAUUGAUUCCUUAUGGGUCCACCACUUCCGCAAAGUUGUUUUUAUAGGCGAAAAGAAAUCAUCCUCUGAAUAGCGUCUUGUAGAAGGUUGACAGUGGUUUCUAGCUGUCUAUCCACUUGUUCUGUGGCUGGAUACCAAUCCAACCACCAGUUGUCGGAGGCACUUCUUUUCUGGCACUUUUGUCUUUUUAAGGAGUGGAGUAGCCUAAGCUGCUGGAGAGCAUUUGCAGCUUGAAUCAUAGCUUGCUGUUGUAAUGCAUGGAGUUGUUGGUCAGAUCUAUUGUUGUCUUCCAAUGAGAUUGGGUACUGUCGAUGCAGAAGUUGUUGAUAUUGUUUAGCGAGCUGGAGAGGGUUGCGAGAGCCUGUAUCAUCUGAACUUUGGCUUCCCUGUUGGGGUUCUCUUGUAACUCCUGUAGGGUUGGUGCCACAAGUUCUAGGUCUUCGAGAAUCUUCACCGACCAUUCUAAAACAAUAAGACAAUUUAUUAGCCAUGAUAAAGCGUCAGCUAACUGAUUGUCCUUUCCUUCAAUGUGUUCAAAAUGGAUCGAGUUGCCGAUUCCGAUAUGUAGUCUGUAAAAGCUAACCUUCUAACCCAUGAUGGUUUGUUAUCUGCAGUCUUGCCAAAGAAGCUAAUAAUUGCUUAGCAGUCUGUCCUGAUAAUAAGCUCCUUAUCAAGCUCCAAGGACUUCCACUUCUGGGACAGCGAUCUUCAUUUUCAUAGGGCUUAAUAUGAGCUCAUUCUUUUGAACUAUGUCAAGGAGGGUCCUCAGGUGCUGCACAUACAAUUGCUCAUCUAGGGAGAAGAACAAGAUGUCAUCGAUGUAUAUUGCUAUGAAAUUUUCGGUGCCUUUGAAGCAAUUGUCCAUUUUUCGUUAAAAAUUGCUGGGGCAUUUUUCAAACCAAAGGGUAUAACCAACCAUUCGUAUAAGCCGUUUGGUACCCAGAAUGUCGUUCGUUCGAUUGAAUCAGGGUGCAUGGUCACUUGAUGAAAACUGCUUUUUAGAUCAAA